Molecule: small nuclear RNA, 117 nt
Filed under: Mastacembelus armatus (zig-zag eel)
Lineage: Eukaryota; Metazoa; Chordata; Actinopteri; Synbranchiformes; Mastacembelidae
Description: U5 spliceosomal RNA
Rfam family: U5 spliceosomal RNA
About the family: U5 RNA is a component of both types of known spliceosome. The precise function of this molecule is unknown, though it is known that the 5' loop is required for splice site selection and p220 binding, and that both the 3' stem-loop and the Sm site are important for Sm protein binding and cap methylation.
Source: Rfam by way of RNAcentral
CCAUUCUUCUUUCUCUGCAAAUCGUAUAACUCUUUCGCCUUUUACUAAAGAUUUCCGUGGAGAGGAACAGCAAGAGUAUAAAUUAAUUUUUUUGAUGCUGUACUAUAUUGUGGGGCU